GACGAACGCUGGCGGCGUGCUUAACACAUGCAAGUCGAACGGAAAGGCCCUGCUUUUGUGGGGUGCUCGAGUGGCGAACGGGUGAGUAACACGUGAGUAACCUGCCCUUGACUUUGGGAUAACUUCAGGAAACUGGGGCUAAUACCGGAUAGGAGCUCCUGCUGCAUGGUGGGGGUUGGAAAGUUUCGGCGGUUGGGGAUGGACUCGCGGCUUAUCAGCUUGUUGGUGGGGUAGUGGCUUACCAAGGCUUUGACGGGUAGCCGGCCUGAGAGGGUGACCGGCCACAUGGGGACUGAGAUACGGCCCAGACUCGUACGGGAGGCAACAGGGGGGAAUAUUGCACAAUGGGCGGAAGCCUGAUGCAGCAACGCCGCGUGCGGGAUGACGGCCUUCGGGGUGUAAACCGCUUUCGCCUGUGACGAAGCGUGAGUGACGGUAAUGGGUAAAGAAGCACCGGCUAACUACGUG
Molecule: ribosomal RNA, 468 nt
Filed under: uncultured bacterium
Lineage: Bacteria
Description: partial 16S ribosomal RNA
Rfam family: Bacterial small subunit ribosomal RNA
Source: RNAcentral